This 359-nucleotide ribosomal RNA is filed under the name uncultured bacterium. RNAcentral describes it as "bacterial SSU rRNA". It matches the Rfam family "Bacterial small subunit ribosomal RNA", at positions 43 to 388 of the family's 1533-position model. The record is from RNAcentral.
GAAUUCACUAGUGAUUCAGGCCUAACACAUGCAAGUCGAACGGUAACGCGGGGGAAACCCUGGCGACGAGAGAAAAACGGGUGAGUAAUACAUCGGAACAUAUCCAGUAGCGGGGGAUAACCUAUCGAAAGAUUGGCUAAUACCGCAUACGAUCUACGGAUGAAAGCGGGGGACCGCAAGGCCUCGCACUAUUGGAGUGGCCGAUGUCAGAUUAGCUAGUUGGUGGGGUAAAAGCCUACCAAGGCGACGAUCUGUAGCUGGUCUGAGAGGAAAAUCAGCCACACUGGAUUUGAGGGAAGGUCCAGACUCCUACGGGAGGCAGCAGUGGGGAAUUUUGGACAAUGGGCGCAAGCCUGAUC